CUAGGUUUAAGAUAAUAGGGCUUGAUGCCUAGCGGCUUCCUUUUACGGGUUGUCUACCGAUCUCACUGGUUCACUCCCUUGAGGAAUGUUCCUCGAGUCGUGAUGCUUUGAUUGUCGUCUUUCGAAUUAAGGAUUUGUCUGGCUGGUGUUCAGCCAAUGGCUUUUGUCUUCGGGUGCCUUGCCUUUAAGUUAAGGCUUCGUUCCACUCCUCUUCUGUCGCUCUCAUCUCUGCCUUUCAUUUACAUAGAUACCCCCUUCUUUUCCCACUCGUUAGGGCAGCGGUUGGAGAGGUAAAAGCUAAAUUGGAGGCUGUUUUCCGAAUCGUGUGCCGAAGCAAGGUAGUUCCUUUUUUUUUU
RNAcentral lists this unclassified non-coding RNA (356 nucleotides) under uncultured bacterium. Its description in RNAcentral is "contains 16S-23S intergenic spacer region". The record is from RNAcentral.